UGGUGGAGCAUGUGGUUUAAUUCGAUGCAACGCGAAGAACCUUACCUACUCUUGACAUCCACAGAACUUAGCAGAGAUGCUUCGGUGCCUUCGGGAACUGUGAGACAGGUGCUGCAUGGCUGUCGUCAGCUCGUGUUGUGAAAUGUUGGGUUAAGUCCCGCAACGAGCGCAACCCUUAUCCUUUGUUGCCAGCACGUAAUGGUGGGAACUCAAGGGAGACUGCCGGUGACAAACCGGAGGAAGGUGGGGAUGACGUCAAGUCAUCAUGGCCCUUACGAGUAGGGCUACACACGUGCUACAAUGGCAGAUACAAAGUGAAGCGAACUCGCGAGAGCAAGCGGACCACAUAAAGUCUGUCGUAGUCCGGAUUGGAGUCUGCAACUCGACUCCANGAAGUCGGAAUCGCUNG
RNAcentral lists this ribosomal RNA (409 nucleotides) under Yersinia sp. AZTITEMP308. Its description in RNAcentral is "bacterial SSU rRNA". It matches the Rfam family "Bacterial small subunit ribosomal RNA", at positions 930 to 1338 of the family's 1533-position model. The record is from RNAcentral. Lineage: Bacteria; Pseudomonadati; Pseudomonadota; Gammaproteobacteria; Enterobacterales; Yersiniaceae.